GUGAAUCAUCGAAUUUUUGAACGCACAUUGCACUCUCUGGUAUUCCGGAGAGUAUGCCUGUUUGAGGGUCAGUUUAAAUAACAAUCGGUGUGGUUGCUGCCUUUCGUGGUGCCGCCCCGGAUCUCGGUCGUCCUGCCUUCGGUUACGUUACCUUAAACUUUGCAUGAUUUUUUUCGAACGUAUUUAACUGAUUUUACGUACGUUUGCGAUAUCCAUUACUAGGUUUGGUCUUCCUCCUGAUUCGCGUCUC
This 250-nucleotide unclassified non-coding RNA is filed under the name Glomus sp. RNAcentral's name for it is "partial contains 5.8S ribosomal RNA and internal transcribed spacer 2". The stretch from base 1 to 71 matches the Rfam family "5.8S ribosomal RNA", at positions 84 to 154 of the family's 154-position model. Lineage: Eukaryota; Fungi; Glomeromycota; Glomeromycetes; Glomerales; Glomeraceae. The record is from RNAcentral.